GAUGAAGAACGUAGCGAAAUGCGAUAAGUAAUGCGAAUUGCAGAAUUUCCGUGAGUCAUCGAAUCUUUGAACGCACAUUGCGCCCUAUGGUAUUCCGUAGGGCAUGCCUGUUCGAGCGUCAUUCAAACCUUCAAGCUCUGCUUGGUGUUGGGCGUCUGUCCUGCCUCACGGCGCGGACUCGCCUCAAAUCUAUUGGCGGCCGGCACGUUGGCUUCGAGCGCAGCAGAAACGCGAACUCGAGACCGGCGGAUCGGCUCCCAGAAGCUACCCCCAUGAAUUUGACCUCGGAUCAGGUAGGGAUACCCGCUGAACUUAAGCAUAUCAAUAAGCGGAGGA
This 336-nucleotide unclassified non-coding RNA is filed under the name soil metagenome. Its description in RNAcentral is "partial contains 5.8S ribosomal RNA, internal transcribed spacer 2, and large subunit ribosomal RNA". The stretch from base 1 to 121 matches the Rfam family "5.8S ribosomal RNA", at positions 35 to 154 of the family's 154-position model. The record is from RNAcentral.